GACGAACGCUGGCGGCGUGCUUAACUCAUGCAAGUCGAACGGAAAGGCCCUGCUUUUGUGGGGUGCUCGAGUGGCGAACGGGUGAGUAACACGUGAGUAACCUGCCCUUGACUUUGGGAUAACUUCAGGAAACUGGGGCUAAUACCGGAUAGGAGCUCCUGCUGCAUGGUGGGGGUUGGAAAGUUUCGGCGGUUGGGGAUGGACUCGCGGCUUAUCAGCUUGUUGGUGGGGUAGUGGCUUACCAAGGCUUUGACGGGUAGCCGGCCUGAGAGGGUGACCGGCCACAUUGGGACUGAGAUACGGCCCAGACUCCUACGGGAGGCAGCAGUGGGGAAUAUUGCACAAUGGGCGGAAGCCUGAUGCAGCAACGCCGCGUGCGGGAUGACGGCCUUCGGGUUGUAGACCGCUUUCGCCUGUGACGAAGCGUGAGUGACGGUAAUGGGUAAAGAAGCACCGGCUAACUACGUG
Molecule: ribosomal RNA, 468 nt
Filed under: uncultured bacterium
Lineage: Bacteria
Description: partial 16S ribosomal RNA
Rfam family: Bacterial small subunit ribosomal RNA
Source: RNAcentral